Bos taurus (domestic cattle) is the source of this 72-nucleotide non-coding RNA. The record is from Rfam. Lineage: Eukaryota; Metazoa; Chordata; Mammalia; Artiodactyla; Bovidae.
UCCCUCAUAGCUUAGUCAGUAAAGAGCCUGCCUGCAAUGCAGGAGACUCAGGUUUGAUUCCUGGGUCGGGAA